RNAcentral lists this long non-coding RNA (614 nucleotides) under Amborella trichopoda. Its description in RNAcentral is "long non-coding RNA (ATRI_LNC000547)". The record is from RNAcentral. Lineage: Eukaryota; Viridiplantae; Streptophyta; Magnoliopsida; Amborellales; Amborellaceae.
UUUAUUGAGGUGGGGAUGGGAGGGAUUUGACCUAUUUAAAAAAAAAAAUUCUACCAGACCAAACCGGCCCGAUUAAUCUAGUUCCAAUCUAAUCGCUUCUGGUCCAUGUACGGUUAACCAUUCCGAUUUGAUUUUUUGAACGCUGGUAUAUCCUAUAAAAAGUAAAAACACACACAUGCAUCAAUAUUAAGCCUUUUUUUGUGUGUCAUUUUAUAUGGCCUGUGUUCUAUAUGGUCAUCAUAACAACAUGAUGAGGAGGUUCUCGACCAUCUUGGAUGGUGAUAGGGGGAGUGCAAGAGUGUAAAAUGAGAAAAAUUGUCAAAAUAACCAUAUGAAAUGAACUAUUAGCAUUGUAAUUUAUAAAUACUCACAAAAAGACUCGUGAUCAUGAAUCGGAAUAGUGUUUUAUUUUUUUACUUACCCAAAAAAAGAAUAGUGUCAAAUAUGGAAAGGCUAAAUAAGUGCAUCUCUUUAGGGUAUUUUGGUAAAUUUCCUAUAAAAGUAUGUAGUUGAAUAUAUGGUUAGGACCAAUGUAUCAAAAUAGCCGAUAUGAUUCGGAAUAGAGCGAUCUGGAUCGAAUAUCGAUGACACCAUUCUGGAUCUGCUAAUAAAAC